UACGUAGGUGGCAAGCGUUGUCCGGAAUUAUUGGGCGUAAAGCGCGCGCAGGUGGCUAUGUAAGUCUGAUGUUAAAGCCCGAGGCUCAACCUCGGUUCGCAUUGGAAACUGCGUAGCUUGAGUGCAGGAGAGGAAAGUGGUAUUCCACGUGUAGCGGUGAAAUGCGUAGAGAUGUGGAGGAACACCAGUGGCGAAGGCGACUUUCUGGCCUGUAACUGACACUGAGGCGCGAAAGCGUGGGGAGCAAACAGG
RNAcentral lists this ribosomal RNA (252 nucleotides) under uncultured bacterium. RNAcentral describes it as "partial 16S ribosomal RNA". It matches the Rfam family "Bacterial small subunit ribosomal RNA", at positions 524 to 776 of the family's 1533-position model. The record is from RNAcentral.